GAUGAAUGCUAGCUACAGGCUUAACACAUGCAAGUCGAGGGGAAACGGCAUUGAGUGCUUGCACUCUUUGGACGUCGACCGGCGCACGGGUGAGUAACGCGUAUCCAACCUUCCCAUUACUGUGGGAUAACCUGCCGAAAGGCAGACUAAUAUCGCAUAGUCUUCGAUGACGGUAUCAGAUUUGAAGUAAAGAUUUAUCGGUAAUGAAUGGGGAUGCGUCUGAUUAGCUUGUUGGCGGGGUAACGGCCCACCAAGGCGACGAUCAGUAGGGGUUCUGAGAGGAAGGUCCCCCACAUUGGAACUGAGACACGGUCCAAACUCCUACGGGAGGCAGCAGUGAGGAAUAUUGGUCAAUGGACGGAAGUCUGAACCAGCCAAGUAGCGUGCAGGAUGACGGCCCUAUGGGUUGUAAACUGCUUUUGUAUGGGGAUAAAGUUAGGGACGUGUCCCUAUUUGCAGGUACCAUACGAAUAAGGACCGGCUAAUUCCGUGCCAGCAGCCGCGGUAAUACGGAAGGUCCAGGCGUUAUCCGGAUUUAUUGGGUUUAAAGGGAGCGUAGGCUGGAGAUUAAGUGUGUUGUGAAAUGUAGACGCUCAACGUCUGAAUUGCAGCGCAUACUGGUUUCCUUGAGUACGCACAACGUUGGCGGAAUUCGUCGUGUAGCGGUGAAAUGCUUAGAUAUGACGAAGAACUCCGAUUGCGAAGGCAGCUGACGGGAGCGCAACUGACGCUUAAGCUCGAAGGUGCGGGUAUCAAACAGG
RNAcentral lists this ribosomal RNA (761 nucleotides) under Prevotella melaninogenica. RNAcentral describes it as "bacterial SSU rRNA". It matches the Rfam family "Bacterial small subunit ribosomal RNA", at positions 28 to 776 of the family's 1533-position model. The record is from RNAcentral. Lineage: Bacteria; Pseudomonadati; Bacteroidota; Bacteroidia; Bacteroidales; Prevotellaceae.